GACAGCUCAUGCUAGCACGCUCAUGCCGUCCCGAAGCACUGACUGUGGAAUGGUGCCUGUGGAACGUCCCUGGGUCUUCGGCCAGCGUCCUUCCCACCCUGCUGCUGGAUGGGCUCCCCUGACCUCCUUUUGCAGGCCUGGGCACACGGUGAACGGCACAGACAGCACAAUUGCAGCACAGAAAAUGAAAUGAAAUAUGAUACCAAUAAUAAUGAAGAGGAAGAGGGAGAACAGUUCGAUUUUGACAGUGGAGAUGAAAUCCCAGAAGCGGACAGACAGGCCCCAUCCGCCCCUGAGACAGGAGGUGCUGGAGCCAGUGAAGCCCCUGCACCCACAGGAGGUGAGGAUGGAGCUGGAGCAGAAACCACCCCAGUGGCAGAGCCUACUAAGCUGGUGCUCCCGAUGAAAGUCAACCCAUAUUCUGUCAUCGACAUCACGCCAUUCCAGGAGGACCAGCCGCCCACCCCCGUGCCCAGCGCUGAGGAGGAGAAUGUGGGUCUCCAUGUGCCCUGCGGGUACUUGGUGCCUGUACC
This 533-nucleotide unclassified non-coding RNA is filed under the name Homo sapiens (human). Its description in RNAcentral is "Rho guanine nucleotide exchange factor 10 (ENSG00000274726.4)". The record is from RNAcentral. Lineage: Eukaryota; Metazoa; Chordata; Mammalia; Primates; Hominidae.